UACGGGGGGGCAAGCGUUGUUCGGAAUUACUGGGCGUAAAGGGUUCGUAGGUGGUCUGCUAAGUCGGACGUGAAAUCCCUCAGCUUAACUGGGGAACUGCGUCCGGUACUGGUGGGCUUGAGUGCAGGAGAGGAACGCGGAAUUCCAGGUGUAGCGGUGAAAUGCGUAGAUAUCUGGAGGAACACCGGUGGCGAAGGCGGCGUUCUGGACUGCAACUGACACUGAUGAACGAAAGCCAGGGGAGCAAACGGG
RNAcentral lists this ribosomal RNA (252 nucleotides) under uncultured bacterium. Its description in RNAcentral is "partial 16S ribosomal RNA". It matches the Rfam family "Bacterial small subunit ribosomal RNA", at positions 524 to 776 of the family's 1533-position model. The record is from RNAcentral.